UUGAAAGCUGUAAAAGAGAGACGUAUCCUGGAAGGAACGGCAAGUAAGGAGGGUAGAAUAGGGAACGAUGUUCGUCUUGAGUUUGUUGAGUUUACUAACCGUGAAGACCAUCUUGGUCGGGAUGGCGGUAUUCCUGUUGGUGAUGACAUAUCUACAGAGGAAGAAGUUCAAACUGCCGCCAGGACCGCCACAGCUGCCGAUACUUGGGAGUUACUUUGAAUUUAGGAAAGAUGGCCGACUGUACUCCGUAUUUACAAAACUCGGAAAUUCAUUUAGUGACUUGUUC
Lingula anatina is the source of this 286-nucleotide long non-coding RNA. The record is from RefSeq and is a predicted model, not a curated record. NCBI's taxonomy places the organism in Eukaryota, Metazoa, Brachiopoda, Lingulata, Lingulida, Lingulidae.